Molecule: long non-coding RNA, 1766 nt
Organism: Panthera uncia (snow leopard)
Lineage: Eukaryota; Metazoa; Chordata; Mammalia; Carnivora; Felidae
Exons: 4
Source: RefSeq, a predicted model, not a curated record
AAAAUCAAAAAGAAAAGAGAGAGAGAGAGCCUUGGAUGUGUUCUGUUCUACAAAUUUGCAUCGGAUUUCCUAGUCGUUAGAGUGAAUUAGCUGGUUGUGCUGUAACAAGACUUAAUUUAACUAAUAAGAAUCAGCACACUGGCUUCACUUGACAAUUGUAACCUCUGAAAGUGAUCAAUUAAGACAUCACAAUCUGUUUCAUGACAACAUAUCGGGAUGCCGCAGCUGUGCAGAUUAUGAGGUCAGCAGCUGACUAACAACUUGAGGGCAAACAUUGGCAACAAGAGCCUCUUGUUUAUGUAACAAAUAUGUAAUUGGGCAGAAUGCUAGGAAUGUAAUGGCUUGGGGGGAUAGGUUGUGAUCUUUAAACUGUCCCUUUCUUUUAUAUAUUGUCACCAUAGCCAGAGUCGUAAAAGCCUUCCACAUACGUAUCCUGCUUGGCCACUGUCCUGCCUAGCUGCCUGACCUCCUAAAUGAGGUAGCAGGUGAUGUGGCUACACAUGGUGACCACUCUAUUUGCCACUUGGCUGCAGGGACCAUUUUACAGUAUGCUGGGAGAGCAGGGCUAGAUGAAUGAAACAUUCCUAAUCAUAAUCAGAAGCUGCAGGUAACACCAAGAGCUUGCUAAGGCCCAAGGGACUCAUUUAUACCUUUGAAGACACUUCAAACUACGGAAUGAUUAAGCAAGCUGUUUUCAUCUACAUCAAGUCACUUUCAGCAGACCUCUAACUGUGAGCAAAGAAUUGUGAAGACUGUUCUAGAGAGAAAUCAACACAGUUCAACCAAGCCAGCUUGCUGAAGGAUGCUUUGAGAAGAAGGGGUUGGUGGAGAUGGAGCAAUGGCAAAUAUCAGCGAAGGGCCCAUGAAUGGAGUGAGAACCCAGGGAACAUAGGAGUCAAUAAUUUAAGAAUAUAGUUUAACGGCUAUCCUUUGAAAAGAUAGGGACACCUCUUCCUCUGAGACAGGAAAAAAGAAUUAAGAAUGAGAGGAGAAAAGACAACCUUACAAGACAUGACUGCAAUUAGAGUUCACUCAGGAUUCCCUUGCAUUUCUAAAAAGCAAGUUUACUGACAGGCUAUGAAAAGAAUGGGUGUCCUUGCCUUUCCUGAAAAGAAGGAAAUGUAAACUGUGCACAAGUCCUGGCUGGGUGCAGCAGCUGAGACACGGUCCUCGUCACAGCCCCCCACCUCACGCUUGGGCUCCCGUCUGUAGCUGCGUAUCUAAAGCAUAGGGCCUAAUUAAGCUGAUGAAUUAUGUAUGGAUAUAUUAUUGAAUAUAUACCAGCCUGGCCAUAAAAAUAAAUAAAUAACCUUUCUGUUUCCCAGAAUUUCAUUUGCGACGUGGAGAAGUGAGAGGGAGCUGUGAAAAGCCAAAUAAUUUUUCUAGUUCUAAUUGUUAUGAAAAUGAUAUGCCUCUGUGUGUGUGUGUGUGUGUGUGUGUGUAACUGCUAUCAACAAAUACUAAUUUUCAGCAAAGAAUAGGUAACACUUCACAAAAAUAGGACUUGUUCCAACUGAAUAUUUGUUUCUUGUGAGAGGAGACAGGCAGUUUGCUAUACCAUGGCCAUAUCAUUUCUCUAUCUUUCCAGUGCUGGAAGCAUACAUUUGCCCAUAAACCAGAUUUUCCAAUACAGAUUAAAUAAUGAAGACAUGAUGGGGUACCGGGGUGGCUCAGUCAGUUGAGCAUCCAACUCUUGAUCUCAGCGCAGGUCAUGAUCUCGUGGUUUGUGGGUUUGAGCCCCACAUGGGGUUCUGCACUGACUGUGC